GCGGAGGUGCCCAAGCGGCUAAGGGGAACGGCUGCAACCCGUUUAUUCAUGGGUUCGAGUCCCAUCCUCCGCU
Molecule: transfer RNA, 73 nt
Filed under: Candidatus Woesearchaeota archaeon
Lineage: Archaea; Nanobdellati; Candidatus Woesearchaeota
Description: tRNA-Cys
Rfam family: tRNA
About the family: Transfer RNA (tRNA) molecules are approximately 80 nucleotides in length. Their secondary structure includes four short double-helical elements and three loops (D, anti-codon, and T loops). Further hydrogen bonds mediate the characteristic L-shaped molecular structure. tRNAs have two regions of fundamental functional importance: the anti-codon, which is responsible for specific mRNA codon recognition, and the 3' end, to which the tRNAs corresponding amino acid is attached (by aminoacyl-tRNA synthetases). tRNAs cope with the degeneracy of the genetic code in two manners: having more than one tRNA (with a specific anti-codon) for a particular amino acid; and 'wobble' base-pairing, i.e. permitting non-standard base-pairing at the 3rd anti-codon position.
Source: RNAcentral